GUGAGUGUGCGGGUUCGCGCGUGGGACCAAGCAUGGGUUCUGGGGAUCCCCGUGGGCACGGCGGGACAGUAGGAGGAGGGCAGGGUGACCGUGCGGGUGAACGGUGGGUCUCCCUUCCGCAGGGCACCGCGGUGGGCUGCAGGGCUGCGACGAGGGCACAGCCUCCUGCAAUCGCGGUCUACGCACUACUUCCCCCACCCCACCCCCUGCGCGUUUUGUUCCCAGCAACACAGAUGCGUGAGCUAACUCGUGUGACAGCCACAUUCCAGCCCUCUACACCCUACACCCCGCCUUCCCCCGUACAGGCCUUGGGCCUUGGCGCCAGUAACUCCUGAAUACACCUGGCACUGGCAUGUGACCUUGGGCACACCUGGUUCCCAGAGCUGCUGUGAGGACUGUGUUGGAAGCUGGUUUAGUCAAAGCCAGCCAGGGUUCAGGAAGGAGCUGUUUUCAUUCCUGUUGGUUGUUAAGUGACCUGGUGUGAGUGGGGAGGGGGAGACUCUUUCCACAAGGAAGCUGUUGUCUAUAUCUGCGUCUCUUCUGCACGUUGAAGGCCUCACGCAACACAGCUGUACCAGCAUGUACCAGAGAAACGCUGGCCCAUCGUGUACUCUCCACGUUACAACAUCACCUUCAUGGGCCUAGAGAAGCUGCACCCCUUUGAUGCUGGGAAAUGGGGCAAGGUGAUCAACUUCCUGAAAGAAGAGAAGCUGCUGUCUGAUGGCAUGC
RNAcentral lists this long non-coding RNA (729 nucleotides) under Rattus norvegicus (Norway rat). Its description in RNAcentral is "long non-coding RNA NONRATT021622". The record is from RNAcentral. Lineage: Eukaryota; Metazoa; Chordata; Mammalia; Rodentia; Muridae.